AUUGAACGCUGGCGGCAGGCCUAACACAUGCAAGUCGAACGGUAACAGGAAGAAGCUUGCUUCUUUGCUGACGAGUGGCGGACGGGUGAGUAAUGUCUGGGAAACUGCCUGAUGGAGGGGGAUAACUACUGGAAACGGUAGCUAAUACCGCAUAACGUCGCAAGACCAAAAAGGGGGACCUUCGGGCCUCUUGCCAUCGGAUGUGCCCAGAUGGGAUUAGCUAGUAGGUGGGGUAACGGCUCACCUAGGCGACGAUCCCUAGCUGGUCUGAGAGGAUGACCGGCGGCACUGGAACGGAGACACGGUCCAGACUCCUACGGGAGGCAGCAGUGGGGAAUGUUGCACAAUGGGCGCAAGCCUGAUGCAGCCAUGCCGCGUGUAUGAAGAAGGCCUUCGGGUUGUAAAGUACUUUCAGCGGGGAGGAAGGGAGUAAAGUUAAUACCUUGGCUCAUUGACGUUACCCGCAGAAGAAGCACCGGCUAACUCCGUG
RNAcentral lists this ribosomal RNA (490 nucleotides) under uncultured bacterium. Its description in RNAcentral is "partial 16S ribosomal RNA". It matches the Rfam family "Bacterial small subunit ribosomal RNA", at positions 30 to 507 of the family's 1533-position model. The record is from RNAcentral.